GAGAUAAGCUGGUGUUUCAGUUACACAAAUGAAUCCCAGAGGCAGCCAGAAGACUCCCACUGAUCACAUUAGCCUCACUGACCAUAACUUGGACACAUCCAUCCAACCAUUUCUCAUCUCCUGCUUUAUCCUCCACUUGAAUAGCCUGGGUGAACCCCGCCGAGUCUGUCAGUGAUUUGGGUUCCCUCUGCAGACACGCCAACUACAGAAUCUCCGAAAACAAGGGAACCAAUCACAAAAAGGAACUCCCUGGAAGAAGAGAUAUUGGAUCUCAAUGGGAUACAAGAUCUUCCUGGAUAAAUAAAGGAUGAAUGAAAA
Molecule: long non-coding RNA, 318 nt
Organism: Solea solea (common sole)
Lineage: Eukaryota; Metazoa; Chordata; Actinopteri; Pleuronectiformes; Soleidae
Exons: 3
Source: RefSeq, a predicted model, not a curated record